CGCCCGUAGAGUUUGAUCAUGGCUCAGAUUGAACGCUGGCGGUAUGCUUAACACAUGCAAGUCGAACGGAAACGAUGGUAGCUUGCUACCAGGCGUCGAGUGGCGGACGGGUGAGUAACGCGUAGGAAUCUGCCCAGUAGUGGGGGACAACCAGGGGAAACCCUGGCUAAUACCGCAUACACUCUACGGAGAAAAGGAGGCCUCUUCUUGAAAGCUUUCGCUAUUGGAUGAGCCUGCGUGAGAUUAGCUAGUUGGUGAGGUAAGAGCUCACCAAGGCGACGAUCUCUAGCUGGUCUGAGAGGACGAUCAGCCACACUGGGACUGAGACACGGCCCAGACUCCUACGGGGAGGCAGCAGUGGGAAUAUUGGACAAUGGGCGCAAGCCUGAUCCAGCAAUACCGCGUGUGUGAAGAAGGCCCUAGGGUUGUAAAGCACUUUCAGCCGUGAAGAAAUGCUUAAGGUUAAUAACCUUGAGUCUUGACGUUAACUGCACCAGAAGCACCGGCUAACCCCGUGCCAGCAGCAGCCGCGGUAAUACUGGAGGGUGCCAAGCGUUAAUCGAAUUUACUGGGCGUAAAGCGCGCGUAGUGGUUAGAUCAGUUGGGUGUGAAAGCCCCGGCUCCAAACCUGGGAAACUGCAUUCAAAUACCUGUCUAGCUAGAGUAUAGUAGAGGGAAGGUGGAAAUUCCGCAAUGUAGCGGUGAAAAUGCGUAGAGAUGCGGAGGGAACACCAGUGGCGAAAGGCGACUUUCCUGGACUAAUACUGACACUGAGGUGCGAAAAGCGUGGGUAGCAAACGGGAUUAGAUACCCCGGUAGUCCACGCCGUAAACGAUGUCAACUAACUGUUGGGCGGGUUUCCGCUUAGGUGUCGAAGCUAACGCGUUAAGUUCUCCGCCUGGGGAGUACGACCGCAAGGUUGAAACUCAAAGGAAUUGACGGGGGCCCGCACAAGCGGUGGAGCAUGUGGUUUAAUUCGAUGCAACGCGAAGAACCUUACCAUCCCUUGACAUACUAAGAACUUUCUAGAGAUAGAUUGGUGCCUUCGGGAACUCAGAUACAGGUGCUGCAUGGCUGUCGUCAGCUCGUGUCGUGAGAUGUUGGGUUAAGUCCCGCAACGAGCGCAACCCUUAUCCUUAGUUGCCAGCGCGUAAUGGCGGGAACUCUAAGGAGACUGCCGGUGAUAAACCGGAGGAAGGUGGGGACGACGUCAAGUCAUCAUGGCCCUUACGGGAUGGGCUACACACGUGCUACAAUGGCAGGUACAGAGGGUCGCGAUCCCGCGAGGGGGAGCCAAUCCCAGAAAGCCGAUCUGAGUCCGGAGCGCAGUCUGCAACUCGACUGCGUGAAGUCGGAAUCGCUAGUAAUCGCGAAUCAGCAAUGUCGCGGUGAAUACGUUCCCGGGCCUUGUACACACCGCCCGU
RNAcentral lists this ribosomal RNA (1424 nucleotides) under uncultured prokaryote. RNAcentral describes it as "partial 16S ribosomal RNA". It matches the Rfam family "Bacterial small subunit ribosomal RNA". The record is from RNAcentral.